GUUCAAGUAGGUUUCUCAUAAGAAAUCUGAUCUCGAAAUUCAGAGAUGGCGUUUCGAAUCAUAUCGGCUACAUGGGGUUGCACAAACAUGUGGGUAUUAUCCAGUAUAUGGAUGAUAAAUCUAUGGGAUGUAGGCAAGGAAGCAUUGUAAUUGAUGAUAAAUUGUGCCAUAGGUACGUCACAGGAGAUGAAUAGCCCUUUAAUGGCAUUAACCAUGAUGUCAAAAACGUCCACCCUCAAACAGCAGCGGAAUAAAUUGAACUGAAAGUCCG
RNAcentral lists this unclassified non-coding RNA (271 nucleotides) under Hevea brasiliensis (rubber tree). The record is from RNAcentral. Lineage: Eukaryota; Viridiplantae; Streptophyta; Magnoliopsida; Malpighiales; Euphorbiaceae.